RNAcentral lists this ribosomal RNA (492 nucleotides) under uncultured bacterium. RNAcentral describes it as "partial 16S ribosomal RNA". It matches the Rfam family "Bacterial small subunit ribosomal RNA", at positions 29 to 507 of the family's 1533-position model. The record is from RNAcentral.
AGUGAACGCUGGCGGUAGGCCUAACACAUGCAAGUCGAACGGCAGCACAGUAAGAGCUUGCUCUUACGGGUGGCGAGUGGCGGACGGGUGAGGAAUACAUCGGAAUCUACUUUUUCGUGGGGGAUAACGUAGGGAAACUUACGCUAAUACCGCAUACGACCUACGGGUGAAAGCAGGGGAUCUUCGGACCUUGCGCGAUUGAAUGAGCCGCUGUCGGAUUAGCUAGUUGGCUGGGUAAAGGCCCACCAAGGCGACGAUCCGUAGCUGGUCUGAGAGGAUGAUCAGCCACACUGGAACUGAGACACGGUCCAGACUCCUACGGGAGGCAGCAGUGGGGAAUAUUGGACAAUGGGCGCAAGCCUGAUCCAGCCAUACCGCGUGGGUGAAGAAGGCCUUCGGGUUGUAAAGCCCUUUUGUUGGGAAAGAAAAGCAGCAGGUUAAUACCCCGCUGUUCUGACGGUACCCAAAGAAUAAGCACCGGCUAACUUCGUG